CAUGCAAGUCGAACGGGAUGCUUAGGCAUCUAGUGGCGGACGGGUGAGUAACGCGUGAGAAUCUGGCUCCAGGUCGGGGAUAACAGUUGGAAACGACUGCUAAUACCGGAUGUGCCGAGAGGUGAAAGAUUUAUCGCCUGGAGAUGAGCUCGCGUCUGAUUAGCUAGUUGGCGGUGUAAGGGACCACCAAGGCAUCGAUCAGUAGCUGGUCUGAGAGGAUGAUCAGCCACACUGGGACUGAGACACGGCCCAGACUCCUACGGGAGGCAGCAGUGGGGAAUUUUCCGCAAUGGGCGAAAGCCUGACGGAGCAAUACCGCGUGAGGGAGGAAGGCUCUUGGGUCGUAAACCUCUUUUCUCAAGGAAGAAGAAAGUGACGGUACUUGAGGAAUAAGCAUCGGCUAACUCCGUGCCAGCAGCCGCGGUAAUACGGAGGAUGCAAGCGUUAUCCGGAAUGAUUGGGCGUAAAGGGUCUGCAGGUGGAACUGAAAGUCUGCUGUUAAAGAGUUUGGCUUAACCAAAUAAAAGCGGUGGAAACUACAGAACUAGAGUGCGGUAGGGGCAAAAGGAAUUCCUGGUGUAGCGGUGAAAUGCGUAGAUAUCAGGAAGAACACCGGUGGCGAAAGCGUUUUGCUAGACCGUAACUGACACUGAGGGACGAAAGCUAGGGGAGCGAAUGGGAUUAGAUACCCCAGUAGUCCUAGCCGUAAACGAUGGAUACUAGGCGUGGCUUGUAUCGACCCGAGCCGUGCCGGAGCUAACGCGUUAAGUAUCCCGCCUGGGGAGUACGCACGCAAGUGUGAAACUCAAAGGAAUUGACGGGGGCCCGCACAAGCGGUGGAGUAUGUGGUUUAAUUCGAUGCAACGCGAAGAACCUUACCAAGACUUGACAUCCUGCGAAUCCUGGUGAAAGCUGGGAGUGCCUUAGGGAGCGCAGAGACAGGUGGUGCAUGGCUGUCGUCAGCUCGUGUCGUGAGAUGUUGGGUUAAGUCCCGCAACGAGCGCAACCCUCGUUUUUAGUUGCCAGCAUUAAGUUGGGCACUCUAGAGAGACUGCCGGUGACAAACCGGAGGAAGGUGAGGAUGACGUCAAGUCAGCAUGCCCCUUACGUCUUGGGCUACACACGUACUACAAUGCUACGGACAGAGGGCAGCGAGCCAGGGAUGGCAAGCGAAUCCAGAAACCGUAGCUCAGUUCAGAUCGAAGGCUGCAACUCGCCUUCGUGAAGGAGGAAUCGCUAGUAAUUGCAGGUCAGCAUACUGCAGUGAAUUCGUUCCCGGGCCUUGUACACACCGCCCGUCACACCAUGGAAGUUGGUCACGCCCGAAGUCAUUACCCCAACCGAAAGGAGGGGGAUGCCUA
RNAcentral lists this ribosomal RNA (1361 nucleotides) under Cylindrospermopsis raciborskii CCMP1973. RNAcentral describes it as "bacterial SSU rRNA". It matches the Rfam family "Bacterial small subunit ribosomal RNA". Lineage: Bacteria; Bacillati; Cyanobacteriota; Cyanophyceae; Nostocales; Aphanizomenonaceae. The record is from RNAcentral.